UCUGCCUAGUGGAGGUACUAGUUCAAGAUCUGGAAUGUAGAAAUAAGGUGGUCAUCUUGACAUUUUCCUUUUCUGGUUUUUGCUAUCUGGCAAAACCAUGACAUCAUGAGGUUUCUUUGCUGGGAUUCCAAGUCCAUCUCCACCUGCAAGGAUUACCUUAUCAUCCUCAGUGGUUUAUCAGCCUAGCAGGAACUCAGUGUUAGGAAAAGCCCGCUUUGCCAAAAGAAUGAAGUAACUUCUUUCAAAACCGUGCAAUAAGGUCCAACUCCAACCUCAGCAGUUAGCCAGUUGAUUAAAGACGGAAAAGAAAACAGAGCAAAACAAAACAACAGAAGCUUAACAGAAAUCUGUGAUUCUGAAAAAGAGAAGUGAACAUGGGUCUGUGUACAAUGAACUUCAAUCAGAAAGCAAAGGCGGAGGGGCAAGUUUCUCCUAACAUCACCUUUGAAAGCCUGAGGAAUCAGUGAAAAUGGAAGUCCAUCUGCUCUCAAUAUUCUGACUCUGACAAUGACCCUGGGCUGCUGCUUUCUGCUCUUGGCAGAGGCAGAUCACAACUAUGCCCAAAUUCCUUUUGAUUUCUUAUCCUUCUUUUGGGUAUUAACUGCACUGAGUUCUUUGAAAUUAAAGACUUGAUGUUAAAGAAAAAAAUCAUCAGUAGGGGCGCCUGGGUGGCUCAGGCAGUUGAGCGGCAGACCUC
Long non-coding RNA from Suricata suricatta (meerkat), 697 nucleotides. RefSeq lists it as uncharacterized. The transcript has 3 exons. The record is from RefSeq and is a predicted model, not a curated record. NCBI's taxonomy places the organism in Eukaryota, Metazoa, Chordata, Mammalia, Carnivora, Herpestidae.